CCUACGGGUGGCAGCAGUGAGGAAUAUUGGUCAAUGGGCGCGAGCCUGAACCAGCCAAGUCGCGUGAGGGAAGACGGUCCUAUGGAUUGUAAACUUCUUUUUUCGGGGCGCAAAAGACGCCACGCGUGGCGUUCCGAGCGUCCCCGAAGAAAAAGCAUCGGCUAACUCCGUGCCAGCAGCCGCGGUAAUACGGAGGAUUCGAGCGUUAUCCGGAUUUAUUGGGUUUAAAGGGUGCGAAGGCGGAAGACCAAGUGAGCGGUAAAAUUGAGAGGCUCAACCUCUUCGAGCCGUUGAAACUGGUUGUCUUGAGUGAGCGAGCAGUAUGCGGAAAGCGUGGGGUAGCGGGGGAAUGCA
This 354-nucleotide ribosomal RNA is filed under the name uncultured bacterium. RNAcentral describes it as "partial 16S ribosomal RNA". It matches the Rfam family "Bacterial small subunit ribosomal RNA", at positions 338 to 690 of the family's 1533-position model. The record is from RNAcentral.